AUGAAGGCCCUCGGGUUGUAAACUGCUUUUGCUCACGGAACGAAAAGCCUGGGGCUAAUAUCCCCGGGUCAUGACGGCUACCGUAAGAAUAAGCACCGGCUAACUACAGUGCACAGUCAGCCGCGGUAAUACGUACUGGUGCAAGCGUUAAUCGGAAUUACUGGGCGUAAAGCGUGCGCAGAGCGGUUUUGUAAGACAGUGGUGAAAUCCCCGGGCUCAACCUGGGAACUGCCAUUGAGACUGCAAAGCUACAGUGCGGCAAAGGGGGAUGGAAUUCCGCGUGUAACAACGAAAUGCGUAAAUGUGCGUAGAGAACACCGAUGGCGAAGGCAAUCCCCUGGGCCUGCACUGACGCUCAUGCACGAAAAGCGUGGGGAGCAAACAGGAUUAAAUACCCUGGCAAUCCACGCCCUAAACGUAUGUCAUACUGGUUGUUGGGUCUUAACUGACUCAAUAACGCAAGCUAACGCCUGAAGUUGACCGCCUGGGGAGUUCGCCCGCAAGGUUGAAACUCAAAGGAAUUGGCGGGGACCCGCACAAGCGGUGGAUGAUGUGGUUUAAUUGGAUGCAACGCGAAAAACCUUACCCACCUUUGACAUGGCAGGAACUUACCAGAGAUGGUUUGGUGCUUGAAAGAGAACAUGCACACAGGUGCUCGCAUGGCUGUUGUCAGCUCGUGUCGUGAGAUGUUGGGUUAAGUCCCGCANACGAGCGCAACCCUUCCCAUUAGUUGAUACAUUCAGUUGAGCACUUUAAUGGGACUGCCGGUGACAAACCGGAGGAAGGUGGGGAUGACGUCAAGUCCUCAUGGCCCUUAUAGGUGGGGCUACACACGUCAUACAAUGGGUGGUACAAAGGGUUCCCACCCCGCGAGGGGGAGCUAAUCCCAUAAAGCCCAGUCGUAGUCCGGAUCGCAGUCUGCAACUCGACUGCGUGAAGUCGGAAUCGCUAGUAAUCGUGGAUCAGAAUGUCACGGUGAAUACGUUCCCGGGUCUUGUACACACCCGCCCGUCACACCCAUGGGAGCGGGUCUCGCCAGAAGUAGGUAGC
This 1050-nucleotide ribosomal RNA is filed under the name Comamonas testosteroni. RNAcentral describes it as "bacterial SSU rRNA". It matches the Rfam family "Bacterial small subunit ribosomal RNA", at positions 408 to 1434 of the family's 1533-position model. The record is from RNAcentral. Lineage: Bacteria; Pseudomonadati; Pseudomonadota; Betaproteobacteria; Burkholderiales; Comamonadaceae.